RNAcentral lists this ribosomal RNA (253 nucleotides) under uncultured bacterium. Its description in RNAcentral is "partial 16S ribosomal RNA". It matches the Rfam family "Bacterial small subunit ribosomal RNA", at positions 524 to 776 of the family's 1533-position model. The record is from RNAcentral.
UACGUAGGGGGCGAGCGUUGUCCGGAGUUACUGGGCGUAAAGGGCAUGCAGGCGGUCCGACACGUUUUGUGUGACAGCGGGUGGCUUAACUACCCGAGGAUACGAAAGACGGUAGGACUUGAGGACUCGAGAGGGACACGGAAUUCCGGGUGGAGUGGUGAAAUGCGUAGAGAUCCGGAGGAACACCGAAGGCGAAGGCAGUGUCCUGGCGAGUGACUGACGCUGAGGUGCGAAAGCGUGGGGAGCGAACAGG